AGUCGAGCGGACAGAUGGGAGCUUGCUCCCUGAUGUUAGCGGCGGACGGGUGAGUAACACGUGGGUAACCUGCCUGUAAGACUGGGAUAACUCCGGGAAACCGGGGCUAAUACCGGAUGCUUGUUUGAACCGCAUGGUUCAAACAUAAAAGGUGGCUUCGGCUACCACUUACAGAUGGACCCGCGGCGCAUUAGCUAGUUGGUGAGGUAAUGGCUCACCAAGGCAACGAUGCGUAGCCGACCUGAGAGGGUGAUCGGCCACACUGGGACUGAGACACGGCCCAGACUCCUACGGGAGGCAGCAGUAGGGAAUCUUCCGCAAUGGACGAAAGUCUGACGGAGCAACGCCGCGUGAGUGAUGAAGGUUUUCGGAUCGUAAAGCUCUGUUGUUAGGGAAGAACAAGUACCGUUCGAAUAGGGCGGUACCUUGACGGUACCUAACCAGAAAGCCACGGCUAACUACGUGCCAGCAGCCGCGGUAAUACGUAGGUGGCAAGCGUUGUCCGGAAUUAUUGGGCGUAAAGGGCUCGCAGGCGGUUUCUUAAGUCUGAUGUGAAAGCCCCCGGCUCAACCGGGGAGGGUCAUUGGAAACUGGGGAACUUGAGUGCAGAAGAGGAGAGUGGAAUUCCACGUGUAGCGGUGAAAUGCGUAGAGAUGUGGAGGAACACCAGUGGCGAAGGCGACUCUCUGGUCUGUAACUGACGCUGAGGAGCGAAAGCGUGGGGAGCGAACAGGAUUAGAUACCCUGGUAGUCCACGCCGUAAACGAUGAGUGCUAA
RNAcentral lists this ribosomal RNA (777 nucleotides) under Bacillus spizizenii. RNAcentral's name for it is "bacterial SSU rRNA". It matches the Rfam family "Bacterial small subunit ribosomal RNA", at positions 60 to 819 of the family's 1533-position model. Lineage: Bacteria; Bacillati; Bacillota; Bacilli; Caryophanales; Bacillaceae. The record is from RNAcentral.